UACAGAGGGUGCAAGCGUUGUUCGGAAUUACUGGGCGUAAAGGGCUCGUAGGCGGCCAGCUAAGUCGGAUGUGAAACCCCCAGGCUCAACCUGGGAACUGCAUCCGAUACUGGAUGGCUUGAAUUCGGGAGAGGGAUGCAGAAUUCCAGGUGUAGCGGUGAAAUGCGUAGAUAUCUGGAGGAAUACCGGUGGCGAAGGCGGCAUCCUGGACCGACAUUGACGCUGAGGAGCGAAAGCUAGGGGAGCAAACGGG
RNAcentral lists this unclassified non-coding RNA (253 nucleotides) under uncultured Acidobacteriota bacterium. RNAcentral describes it as "uncultured Acidobacteria bacterium contains 16S-23S intergenic spacer region". It matches the Rfam family "Bacterial small subunit ribosomal RNA", at positions 524 to 776 of the family's 1533-position model. The record is from RNAcentral. Lineage: Bacteria; Pseudomonadati; Acidobacteriota.